Cyanistes caeruleus (blue tit) is the source of this 3801-nucleotide non-coding RNA. The record is from RefSeq and is a predicted model, not a curated record. NCBI's taxonomy places the organism in Eukaryota, Metazoa, Chordata, Aves, Passeriformes, Paridae.
CACCCCACACACCUCACACCCCUCACACCCCUCACACACCCGGCUGCCAGCCGGCUGCCUUGGUGUGUGUUCCCAAAGCCCACUUAGGCACCACCGUGUCCACUGAUGCGUGUGGAGGCGGGUGACCUUUAAAAUGCCUCUGAUUAAUAAAACACUAUUUGUUUGCAGGGAGAAACUGCGCAAAGCACAGUUUUUAAUCUCUCCCCAUCCCUAGCCUGUCCAUAGCACACCACGCAGAAGGAUGCAGGGAAGUGCCUGGGGCAUGAUAUGAGAAGAAGGCUGGAGAGUUUUCACCAUGUGAGGCUGGCUGGGGUGACUGGGCAGAUGUACAGUGCAGCUGGGAGUGCUCCUUCCUUACUGCCAUUUUACAUCAUUCUCCCUUUGGCAAUAGCACUGCUUCAGGUCGCUUGCAGAACACAAACAGAAAAUUGAUGUGAUUUAGGAUUUACCUGCGAAUCAGCUGACAGGAGUAGGAAAACAUGAAGAAAUUUGCACACUACUGCUAUAAAUAGAAAUCUACAUAGGAUAUGGUUUGUGUGUUGAGAACAAGAGCCUGCAAGAAGCUGAACUCAUCAAGUGAGACCAUGGGUACUUCUCUACUGGCUCUAAUGGGGUGUGAAAGAAUUAGGCAGCUACUAGGGUUAGUUCUCUGUGUACUAAUCCACUCAUUUUUCCUUUGCCCUGUGCACAGAAGUCCUGUUUCUGUCUUGAAAAAAGCAAAAGUGGAGGUCUCAAGCUCCAUAAUGUUAUCAUUUCUUUAUUCAUAUGGAAGCUGAAUGAUUAUUCAUUAAUUGGAACCAGAAUUUACAUGGUCAGAGAUCUUUGUGAUGGCUUCAUCUGAUCUUAAGUGACAUAAGACCUCCCCCAAUCAAUUUCUUCUUGCACUGUGGCACAUUUGAAAAAAAAAUAAUAAAAUCUUACUUUUGUCUGAUUUUGUUCACCUUCUAGACAUUAGUUCUUGCUUUUCAUUUGCCAAACUGAACAAAUCCCUGCUAGCAAAUGCCUCCUCACCUAUGUACUUCUAGACUGACUGUCCAAGCCCCCACUCUUCCACCCUCUCUUUACAAAAUGUAGGGUUGUCUUUCCCUGCCUUUUACCACAGAACAUGAAAUAAGUUCUCACAAGUCUCUUUUUUAUGUAUAUGCUGGUUUUCCAAAACCAUUUUUAUUCUAUAGGCACUGUAAUGCAACAUAGCCGACCAGGAAAUGUCACCUCAGUGUCAGCUAUAACAGGAGCAUGAGGUUCUUCCUUUUAAUUCCUCACUUGUCCCUUCCCCCAUCCUUGAUCAUCAUUAGCCUCACUGGUUGUUAGGUCACUAAAUUUUGGCUAUGACCUGCAGGUUAUCAAUGCCUGGCUUUCCCUGCUAGCCAGGACAGAAGUUCCCAGCCUGCAGUCAGGCCCUUGGUAUCUGGUUAACCACACUGCUACAACAGUUUAAGAGCCUGUGUGACAGCAGUGUCUCAGGUCAUCCAAAGGUUUUCACCUCAGUCCCCCAAAAGCUGGAGGUACAUGUUCUUUCAGUCAAAGUUUAAAUAGGAAGAAGAAGAAGAAGAAAAAGUUAUCAGAGAAGACUUGUUAGGGAAAUACAGCAUAAAUCAGGCAAGGCUCUAUUGGUGUGGGUCAAGGGAUGGUAGGCAUCCACAGGCAGUAUGGGAGCAAGGUAGAAAUAAUCCAGCCUUAAGAAAAGUCAGGAAUCUGACUUCCUGGAAGCUCAUGAUGCUGAUGGGGGUAUGAGCAAAGAACCCUGUCAGUAUCUUAUUUGCCCUGAGGAUUUAGCAGUAUUUUUAGAAGUAAGGUCAUGAAAGAACUGGGACCAAAUUCAUCUGCUGUCAUUCAUCCCGGUCUUCCAAGCCAUAGCUAAGACAGAAUCCUUUGCCUAUAUAGUUUACAGUCCAAGUAGACAGACAAGCCAAAGACAGCAGGAAACCAGGCAUGUAAAGUUGUUGACCUGAGUCCACUUCUCUUCCAGAUUUGGUCACACGUCUCCUCUCCAUUUCUGUCUCAACAAGCUACAUUUGCUGAUGCUGACCGCAACACAUGCAUACUGUCACAACCCCUGCCAUCCAGGCGUGCUGCUUCACCACUGCUGUGUGCUUUUCACAGCCUUUUCUGAGAAGAACCUGAUCUUGGGCAGAAGGUCAUUGCCAACCCAGCUCACACUGACAGAGACCAGCAAAAAUCUGUAGCAUGGACAUGGAAUGAGGCUCCUUUGAAAAAGCUCCCUUGAAAAAGGUGAAUGUGAGCCCCAGGAACCCACUGGGUCAGGAAUAAUUCUGGUUAAAGAUGAAUGGGUAAAGGACAGCAAAAGGAUGAAGAGAGUUACAAAUGUGCCAAACUAGAUGCAGAAGGUGGAGGACACAAGUCACCACUUACACUCUGCUUCAUGCCACAGUGAUCACCACCAAAGUUACAGCAGCAUUACCGAUGAUUUGGCUCAACAGAGUCAGGGCCUUUGGCUGCACUGGUUCCUUCCUGCAGGGAAGGAUCUCACCCAGGGACAGUGAAAGAUCAUUCAUUGGCCUCAUCCUCCUGUGAAGCCCAACCCUCUGUUCGUGUCUUCCCACUUAAAUACUGAAACAUUUCCCUGCUGUACAGCGUGUGCUUACACCAGCUCCCUUGUAUGUGGUGAGAGGUCACGAGAGUCUGACUAGCAAAGCUGGCAAAGGCAGCAAAGGUGAGAUUGGGCAGUGUCUUCUCUCCUUGCUGCCACUUGCAUCAUGAGAACAAGGAACAAGUUGAAAGGGCUGGUGUAGCAUAUGGAAUGAGCUUUUAUUCCUAACGUCUUGAGCAAAUUUGUGCAUGGUGGCACACUCAAUAUAAAGGCAGCAUUGUCAAUUUUGAGCAUCAAAGCAUCAUGCCUUCCAAAAUCCUGAGAGUGGCUUAAAGAUUCUGAGACUUCUUAAAAACAACAAAUGUCAAUUUCCUUUAUUUUCCUUUGGGUUUUGGAGCCUUUUGGGGAGAAUUUUCUUCCUCUUUGUUGUAAAAGUACGGUUUACCUUCUGCUCUGAAUGAAUGCAAAGGGCCUUAUGGACUCCCUUGAUUCCAGCUUCUGGGUCUUUAAGGGAAACACCAAAAGUCAUUAAGAUGUGCAAUUAAAUCACAACCGUGGCUAACACAGCAAAUAUAAAUGCAAACCCUGCCCUAGAGAACAAAGACCCAUUCAUUCUGCUUAAAUUGCUCUUGAGAGUUGCUUGCUGCUUCAUUUUUUUUUCUUUUUCCCCCCAGUCCGUAUUUCUUCAGAAGGAGGGGGAGCUUUCUUGGCUUAUGCCACAUCCUGGAUCCUCAAAAAAGCCUGUGCUCAGCGGCCUGAGUCUGUCUUGCCUCCUGUCUGCCAACCCUCUAGAAAAGUGAGGUUACAGACAAGCAUCAGCAAUGAGUGAGCAGUAAUAAAGAACCUUGAUAACUGAGGGACCAAACAUCUCCUGCCGAAAAGCAAAGCCACAUGGAUAAAUGUCACAGUAAAUGAGAAGCCACAGGGCACAGCCAGAACUGCAGGUGCUGAUGUGUGAAGGAGCCCUCUGAUGUCACACCAGUUUUGCUGCCAGAAAAGCCUGAGCAAAGAUAAAUUGGAGAAACUGGUCUGCAGCCCAGCCACCCCAUGCCUGAUGGAGGGAUCUGCAUAACGACCAGAAAUCACUUCUCCUCCAUACAGGUCUCUGGCCUUGCUCCUGUACAUUAUUAAAAAAGAAACAAAAAACCUACUCUUCUUUGUAGAGAGAAAAGUUUUAAUAUUUAAUAAGAAAAAUCUUUGGAACACUGAAUAUUAUUGUUGAGACUGGGAAAAUAAAUUAUAUUCCUCUG